Molecule: long non-coding RNA, 578 nt
Organism: Homo sapiens (human)
Lineage: Eukaryota; Metazoa; Chordata; Mammalia; Primates; Hominidae
Exons: 6
Source: RefSeq, a predicted model, not a curated record
AAGAAAUAGAGAAGAAAACGGAGGAGAGGAGGAAGAAGGGGCAGGCAGUGGGACAGGCAGUCGAGCUGGAUUUGUUUCUCAUUCGCUCUUGGCUCCUCUGGUGGAAAAAUCGAAGCGCUCCCCCUGGUACUGCUGAGGCGGAGAGGGGACAUGAGAAGCCUUUUCUGUACAUCAUCCCAUGUGGCCCUCACAGACACCCCAAGGGCAUCCAAGUGGAGGUGCCCAUGAGAUGGCUGGACGCAUGGAGGUGCCCUGGAGAAGGUGGAGAGAGAGGAAGCCGGCACAGCCUGCAAAGAGGCCAGAGAAUGAGUAGCCAGAGCCCCUGAAGCCUCACAGGAGGAGGUCUUAGACAAGGCACAGCCAACAGUGCCAAUGGCAAGAGAUGAAGCAGAGACUCACCCAGCGCUUCCAGAAGCUGGGGCAAAGAGGAGCACACACGACCACCUGCCUACUGAGCAGCUCACACUUCCUCCAAUGGAGCCACCACAAGGAAAUAUUGCUUGCUUGGUGCUAGACAAGUGCCGAAGAUGCUGUGAGAGGCAGAUAGAAGUCCCUGCUGUCACGGAUCUUAAGUUCCA